Molecule: ribosomal RNA, 774 nt
Filed under: uncultured Neocallimastigales
Lineage: Eukaryota; Fungi; Neocallimastigomycota; Neocallimastigomycetes; Neocallimastigales
Description: partial large subunit ribosomal RNA
Rfam family: Eukaryotic large subunit ribosomal RNA
Source: RNAcentral
UAUGUGAUCGUCUCUCGCAUAUCAAUAAGCGGAGGAAAAGAAACUAACAAGGAUUCCCCUAGUAACGGCGAGUGAAGCGGGAAGAGCUCAAAUUUGAAAUCUUAAGGGGUUUCCCUUUACGAAUUGUAGUUUAAAGAAGUGUUUUCUGUUGAGGUUUUGGUAAAGGUUCUUUGGAAUAGGACAUCAUAGAGGGUGAGAAUCCCGUAUUUGACCUUUACUUUCAACUUUGUGAUACACUUUCAAAGAGUCGGAUUGUUUGGGAAUGCAGUCCAAAAUGGGUGGUAAAUUUCAUCUAAAGCUAAAUAUUGGCGAGAGACCGAUAGCGAACAAGUACCGUGAGGGAAAGAUGAAAAGAACUUUGAAAAGAGAGUUAAACAGUACGUGAAAUUGUCAAAAGGGAAGCGUUUGACACCAGUGUUGUUUUUCUGAAAAUCAAUUAAAGAACUGUUUAUGCUAAGCUGUUUAGACUUUAUCAGCUAUCUGUUUAGUUUUGAGCUUUUCUUUAAUGCACUUUUCAGUUAACAAGUCAACAUCAAUUUCUUUUGCUGUAAAAAAGCUUGAGGAAGGUGGCUUGAGAUUCGUCUUAAGUGUUUAUAGCCUCUUGCCUAUGCAGUCGGAGAGAUUGAGGUCUGCAGCGUAGAUCCUUCGGGGCUAAAUGCAUUUGUGCUAAGUUAUAGCAUUUUAUAGACAACUUGUUGACUAUGAUUUGUCUUGUAGCUUACUCGCUUAUGUUAUUUUACCUACGCUUAGGAUGUUGAAGACUCUACAGAGAUA